GCCGGGCAUGGUGGUGCAUGCCUGUAAUUCCAGCAGCUUGGGAGGCUGAGGCAGGAGGAUAAUGAGUUCAAAGCCAGCCUUAGCAAAAGCAAAGCACUAAGCAACUCAGUGAGACCCUGUCUCUA
This 125-nucleotide small RNA is filed under the name Marmota monax (woodchuck). The record is from RNAcentral. Lineage: Eukaryota; Metazoa; Chordata; Mammalia; Rodentia; Sciuridae.